RNAcentral lists this long non-coding RNA (14561 nucleotides) under Glycine max (soybean). RNAcentral describes it as "long non-coding RNA (GMAX_LNC003887)". The stretch from base 12144 to 12265 matches the Rfam family "MIR1520 microRNA precursor family". Lineage: Eukaryota; Viridiplantae; Streptophyta; Magnoliopsida; Fabales; Fabaceae. The record is from RNAcentral.
CAUUAGUUGAAGAAAAUAAGAAACAUUAUACCUAGCUAUUAGAGUUUAAGAUGGCUUCAAAAACUUGUUCCUCCCUUGCCCUUUUCCUCACACUCAACCUCGUUUUCUUCUCACUUGUCUCUGCAUGCGGUUAUACACCAUGCCCUGGUCCAAACCCAAAGCCAAGGCCCAACCCCAACCCUAACCCUAACCCCAGCCCAAGUGGCUCGUGCCCCCGUGACGCACUCAAACUAGGUGUAUGUGCCAAUGUGCUAAACUUGGUGAACGCCACUUUGGGUCAACCACCAGUUACCCCUUGCUGCACCCUUCUCGAUGGUCUCGUUGACCUUGAAGCUGCAGUGUGCCUUUGCACUGCCCUCAAAGCAAACAUUUUGGGCAUCAACCUCAACCUUCCAAUCUCCCUUAGCUUGCUUCUCAAUGUUUGCUCAAGGAAAGCUCCACGUGAUUUCCAAUGUGCCUAAUCAUGGCCCAUGAGCAAGUUGCUACGUGCUUAUUCCUAGUUGUGGUUUUCCGUUGUUUUUUUUUUUUUUUGAAAUUCCAUUUAUCAUGGUGUGAUUCUUGUUCGUGCAUCAGUGCAUGGAUGGGUAAAUUCUCGUUAUAUUCUGCCGCUUUAUUGAUUGUUUUAUCAGGCAAAGUGUCACAUUAAAUAAAUUCCCAAUGCUUAAUUUCUUAUGUAAAGCAAAAGGAAUAAAAAAAUGAUAGUGUUAUUUAUAUGGCAGAUAAAUGGUUAAUGUUGCAAAUACAUUUUAAUAUUUAUUGAUGCCAUUUUGUUUUGUCUUUUCGGUGAAUGAGAGCAUCAGCUGAUCAGCAAAAUUACAUUGCUUUCUAACUUGUGUCCAAUGCGCAACUAGAGGAAAACUAAUUCAAGAAAAGAAUAAAAAUGAAAGUAAGCAUGCACAACACUGAGCCCGUGACGAUUGUACAAAGCACUCCACGUGCAUGCACUAUUAUUUCAUUUAAAAAAAAAGCUCAGAAUAAUUAGCUAUUUAAACCAAGAUACAUAUUAAAUUCUAUGGUACCACAGUAACACUUUUAGAGGUUUUGGAAAAUUUCAUAUUUGGACCAAUAGUUAUUAAGUUACUUAGUCAUCAAUUUACUAUAUGUGGUAAUGAAAUUGUUAUAUAUAUAUAUAUAUAUAUAUAUAUAUAUAUAUAUAUAUAUAUAUAUAUAAUUUAGUCCCUAAUUAAUUCAAAUAUUUUUUCUUUUAAAAUUAUUAUUUUUAAUUAUUUUAAUUAAAUAGAUAGAUCUGAUCAUUGACUCUGUAAAUCUUGAAGUUUUGGCAUUCAUGUGUCCUUCGACCUUAAAGAAGUGGAAAAAUAUCCAUGUUAAAUCUACUAUGGGGAAGGUUAAUUAAAAUUCAAUCCACAAUUGGUGACUCUAUCACUUACAAUGCUCUACCUUAUUCCAUGUUCCAAAAGAGCAUGUAAAAAAUCAUAUUUCCUCCAAUCUUAGUUAUAAGCAAAAAAGACAUUUUAUAUUUAUUAAAAAAAUUAACAAACUUUAUUAAAUUGUAUCAUUAAUUCCUAAUUAAAAAAUAAAUAUUUUUUCUAAACUAUUGGACUUUAUAUCAAAUAUAUAAAAAAAAUAAUCUUAUUAAAUGAAUAUAUUUUAGAGAGAAUCUUAUUAAAUAAGACAUAAAUAAUUCAAAUUUAAUAUUCUAAAUCCAAUGAAAUACUAAUUACUGUUCUUUACAAGCCUUCUGAAGUCCUUAGCUUGGUUCCUAAUCUAGAUCAGUCCCCCAGUUCAAGUGUAUGGAGAGGCCUAUGUCUUCCUCCUAACCCUCCUAUAUACUUUAGCCUUUAGAAGGGAUGUUCUGAUUAAUCGGGAUAUUCAUCGGUUGGUGUGAGUUGCGAUUGCAUCAAAAUCCCGUAGAUUGUGGGCUCUUACACAUCGAUGUAGGCCAAGUGUAGGUCUUUCUAUUGUGAGUGAUUUACCUCGGGACGAAUGAGGUGUGGCCCAAUGCGUAGUACUUCAAGCCACGAGUGGAGUAUAUAUGCACGAAGUGGCUUUGGUACACAACCCCUUAAGCCACAAGUGGAGUAUGCACAAAGUGGGUUUGUAGAGUUCGGGUUGACCGAGGUGUGGCACAAUACACAAUCCCUCAAGUCACAAGCUAGAGUGAAGUAUGCACUAAGUGAGUUUGCAGAGUACUAUCAAGAUUGAAAACUUGAAGGUACUUGAAACACACAUUGAAUUCUUAACAAAGUCAACGAUUAUAAAUCUUGCAAGAACACUCAUUGAAUUCUUUUGUAAAGAUAUAAAUGAAUGAAACACAAGUAAAAGUGUCAAAAAUAUCCCUGCUUAAUAUAAUAUAGAAACAAAAAAAAAAGACUAAUAAUACAUGAACCACGCCUAUUAUUACUACAAGAUUUUUUUUAAUGUUACACCCUAUAUUAACACCCAUCUUUUUCUCUAUCCCUCUCUUCUUCUCAUAUCAAAAUAUCUAUGAUACCUAUUAUCCCCCCCUCUCUUCUUCUCAUAUCAAAAUAUCUAUGAUACCUAUUUUACCAGAAAAAUACUUAUAUUUUUUUUAUAUUCAUGAAAUAAUCAAGNNNNNNNNNNNNNNNNNNNNNNNNNNNNNNNNNNNNNNNNNNNNNNNNNNNNNNNNNNNNNNNNNNNNNNNNNNNNNNNNNNNNNNNNNNNNNNNNNNNNAUAUAUAUAUAUAUAUAUAUAUAUAUAUAUAUAUAUAUAUAUAUAUAUAUAUAUAUAUAUAUAUAUAUAUAUAUAUAUAUAUAUAUAUAUAUAUAUAUAUAUAUAUAUAUAUAUAUAUAUAUAUAUAUAUAUAUAUAUAUAUAUAUUUACAUAAUACACGAACUACUUGCUAAUGAUUAUAUAGACUCCAAUCCCAAUCCCUCAGGUGGCUUCUGCCCUGGCGAUGCACUCAAACUAGGCAUAGGUGCCAAUGUGCUAAAUGGGCUGCUCAACGUGACUUUGUGUCAACCACCGGUUAUAUCUUCUUCUUCCCUCCUCAACGGUCUCAUUGACCUUGAGGCUGCACUGUCCUUAGAGCAAAUAUUUUGGGCAUCAACCUCAACCUUUCCAUCUCACGCAGCUCACUUCUCAAUGCUUGCUCAAGGCAAGUCCCAUGUGAUUUCCAUUGUGCCUAAUUACCCAACAUAUCAUAUAUAUCAUCGUACCUACUUUUGCUUUGUGUUUUCCAGUUGUGACUUUCCUUUCUUUUUUUUUUUUCAAAUUCCAUGUGUGGUUCUUGUACGUGCAUGGAGGGUUAGCUUCUCGUUAUUCCUUCCUUUCAGUGUUUUUGUAGUUAUCUGGUAAGAGUGACGCGAUAUAUAUUAUAUAUAGAAGCUCUCGAUGGUUGCUUGUGUAAAUCGCAAUGUACAAAAGUUGAUGAACUAGUCUGUUAUUUAUAAAAAGAAAACCAAACACAAGCGCUUGCAAAUGACCUCGUUAUUAAUGCUUCUAUUAUAUAUAUAUAUAUAUAAAGAGAUCAAAUAUCAAUAUAGUUUUGACCAACUAUUAUCUCAUUUAAUAACUUUCAAUUAAUUAAUAUUUUUGUUAAAACUCGUUAUUUGAUUAAAAAUUCAUUUCACAUGAAUUAAAUAUAUAAAAUUUUAUAUUAAUAUAAAAUUAUUUGUUAUCUUAUUAUUCAUAUAAACUAAAAUUGAUGUAAUAAAAAAAAUUAAAAUAUAUUAAAUUAUAAAUCAUUUGAUUAUUUUUUUAUUAUUGUUUAAUUUUAAUAAAAUUUAACACAUAUAAUAUAUAUUGAUAAUAUGUAAAUAUAAUUUAAUGAUCAAAUAAGUAAAAUUCACAAUUUUUUAUCAAAUUAUAGAAUAAUAAAAUAUUAAAUUAUAUUAAUAUAAUUUCAUCUAAUACAUAUUAAUUGUAUUUCAUGUGUAAAGAAUUUAGUAUUUUUUUAAUUGCAAUUAGUCUUGUAUAGUUUAAUGAUAUUUUUACCAGUGACUUGGUUUUCAUAUUGUUUUCCGUUAAGGCAUUAAUGGUCAUUUUCAUAAACAUUGGAUUUGGUAAAAGUCGAAAGGAUAAGACGAUUUUGCCAUAUGCUUAACUUGGCACUCUAUGGCUUGGCCUUUAUGGCUAAUAAGUAACACAUUUGUUUUUAAAAAUGUAUCAUUUGGCUUGAUCUCUUUGUUGGAUUUGAUUGAAUACUAAUCUUGGUCGUGGCAUAUAAGAAUAUGAUUUGUCCACCACUCGUAUAAUGACAUACAAACUAGCCUAGUUUUAAGCCACAACUUCUAACUUUGCAUCAUAUUCGGUUUCUAUGUAACCAAAUACACCAUAUGAUGCAAAGCCACAAAAUCUUCCAGCACUCUAUGCAUUUCUUUCCAUUUGCCAAUCCUAAAUUCGAUAUAAAAAAAUGUUGUAUUCCAUUAUUUGGUAGAACCGUAUUCACAUCUAACUACUGGUACCAAGUAGUCUCUUUUGAAAUGGGGAGAUUAUUAAAGUUAAACUCUUUUAGAAUGGAAAUAAAAGUCUAAUUAUGUUUAAAAAGUUUUAGAGUUUAAUAUUUUUUCAUAUAUAUUUUCUUAAUGAAAAUUAUUACACUGUUAAUUUGUUAUAAUUUUUAAAAUAAUUAUUACAUUAGAUAUAAUUUUUAAAAUAAUUAUUGUAAAUUAAAGCUAACAAUUUUACUGUACACAAAAAUUUAUAAUUGUGUGAUAAAACAAAUAUAAGUAUAUUUUUAAAGCAAAAUAUAAGUAUAUUCUAAUUAAAUACUAUUAACAUUUGCUAAGGCUAAUAAUUUGAAAACUUUGCAUAAUAUUUUGUUUUUGUUUUUGACAAUCGUGUAAUAUAAAAUUGGUUAAUGUGACUUCACGCCCCACCCCCAAAUUAUGAAGAUUUCACGAGCCAAAAACGCGUGGAAAACUUAGAUUUGAUUUUGAUAUUAAUUGGACAUCACAGAUUAAGUCAAUAAUUGCGGACUUGUUCACAAAGGAAUGUCUAAACGAAACUCUUUUUAAAAUGAAAAAAAACGUAGUACAACGUUCUUCAUUGGCUUAUGGGCCUUUGCUUGUUAGGCUUCUAGCUAUUAUAAGCUCCUAGUUGCAUGCUUCCUGUCGAAAAUUGAUCAUAUUUACAUAAUUGUUUUUUUUUUAACUUAAUACUUUCGUCGUGCAGUGACGACUGAUCCACGUAUCAACGAGAGGAUGCACUUCCAACCCUUCGCUUUUUUGGAAAACACACACACACAUAUAUUUUUUAAAAUAUGUAUAUUUUAUCUUCUUAAUUUUAUAUAUUUGAAUCAUCUAUCCUUAAUUUUAUUAGUAUUUUCAUAAAAUAUUUUAAACAUAAAUUUAAAUAAUAUAAGUACAUACACACUAAUUUACCCUUUGUUCCUUUUUCAAUCCUUAAAAUUUUAAGGCGCAAAUGAAUAAAACAACAAAAAGAUAAGAUAUGUAUUGAAAUUAUACAUAUGGUUCCACCUUAUUUCUGGUUACGGUACCCAGUUUAAUUACAUAAUAUAUUGCUUAUCAUGAAAGAAACGGGAAAAAGGAAACAACUAACAAAAACCAAAUUAUAUAUAUAUAUAUAUAUAUAUAUAUAUAUAUAUAUAUAUAUAUAUAUAUAUAUAUAUAUAUAUAUAUAUAUAUAUAUAUAUGAAAUAUAUAUAUAUAUACACAUAUAUGAAACCAUCAAAUCACAUAGAUUAUAGUUGAAAAUAUCAUUUUUAAUCAAUAGGAAAGGUAAAAGUCUCACUAUUUACGGGAAAUAAAAGAAUUAACUACGACGAAAUUGAUAUUUUUUUUCAAAUUACCUUUCUAAGCCUUUUCAAUCGGUAAAAUAUUUUCUUUAAUUUAUUACACGUAUUUUUUUUUUUACUUUGAGAAAAAAUAAUUUUUUUGGUUUUAUAUUAUUUUGAAAUACUUUUCAUUAAAUAAACAUAUAUAUAACCAAAAAAUAUUAAAAAAUAAUAACUAUUGAGGUAAAUUUAUUAUAAAUUUAACUAACCUAAAUAACUAAUAAUCAUUAUUCACUUCUUAUUUUUGAACAAAAUAUCUACUAUUUACUAUUUAUAGUUUAAUUAUAAGAAUAUAACUUAUAAACACUGUACCUUAAAGUAUUUUUUAUAUUAAUUUUUAAUCAAGGUUUUAUUUUGAUAACCAACUCCAACUUAAUUAAUUAUAACUUAUAUUACGUGGAUUAUGGAAAUAAAAUUUAACUAUUAAUCAUUGCCUUCAUUUUAAAAUAAGUGUCACAUUUAAUUAUUUAAUGUAACAUUAAUUGUUUUUUUUUAUUAUUUCUAAUAAAUAUCACUUUAAUUUUUUAGUCUAAUAUUAAUAUUAUUUUUUAUCUAUUUAAUAAUAUUAUACUCUAUUUUAUUUAUUAAUUAACUUUUUUAUAUGUAUAAAAUAUUAUACAACCACACUUAUUUUCGGACUAGGGAGUAAAAAAAACAUUUAAGAAACAAGAUAGUAAGUUUUCUUCAAAUUCAUAAUUAAUAGCUAUCAGCCAAUUAGCUAGUGGUAGUGUGAGGAUAAGAUUGAAAAUGUAAUAAUAGCUAUUAGCCUAUUAGCUAGCGGUAAUGUGGGGAUCUGAUAGGCUGUCGGGAUACACACUUUUUUUUUAGAAGUUAUUCAAAUUUAAAAGAAGAUAGUUUUUUUUUAAAGACGUAUACGAGAAUAAAUUCUAAUUUUUACUAAUAAUUAUAAUUUAUUAGUUAAAUUCAAUGUUUAUAUAUACAAUUUUAAAAUAAUUUUUUUACUAUUAACGAGCUAAAACUAUUUUUCAUAUGACUUUUAAAAUAGUUAUUACAACAAUUUUAUCACAAAUAACAUUAUACAUCAAUAACUAAUAAGUGGUAAUGUUACAAAUUCCUGAAUAAGAUGACCCGGCCGGCCCGGAAAAAAACAAAAUUAGUCGAGAUUUUUAACAAGAUAUUUUUAUCAUCGAAAGUUAUAUACUAUCUUUUAAAGAAGUAGAAUAUGAAUUAAAGAAAAGCUUUUUUUGACACAUGUAUUAUUCUAUUCGCAUAGCUAAGGAUUGAAACACUAAUAUAUGUUUAAAGAGCUCAAAUUAUUUGCUACUUGUGUAAUAUCUUGUAGGGGUUGGAAAUUUUUUUAUUUGAAUCAUAUGUAUAAAAAAGUGCAUUUCAAUUUGAUGUCAACCAACACGUACUUUGUUCGAAACAGGCUGCAGGAAGAAUAGUCAUCAUCCUCAAAUUUUAGCUAUUUUAUUUAUUAAAAGUUUAAAUACAACCAAAUUAAUCACAUCUCGGAAGGAACUGUAAGGGAGAGUGUGUACUGUGCAGUCAAUUUCCAACCACAAUAAGCAAUACUUAUAAUAGGACCCAGUGACCCAUUAUUUCACAUGCAGAACCUUAUGUACUCUCAGAUCCACCGAUUGAUGGCGGUUCCUGCAUGCAUCACAAGUCACAAGCAUAUAAUACCUAAUUUAAGGUUUUUCCCCGCCAGCUAAAAUUCUCAUGUUCACUCAUGGUCAUUUCAUUAACAUACUAUUUAUUUAUUUUUUUGUAAAAAAAUUCAAGUGUUGAAUAUUAAUUUUGAGGUACUGAAUAUAUAAGUUUUAAUUAAAAAAAAUUAUGUUUUGGUUUGGGUAAUUGGCUCGAUUCAGUUUCGGUUGAUCUAGCAUGAUAUUAUUCCAUUUGGAUAUCUCGGAUAGUAACCCAAAUUUUAUGUUUGGUGAGACUUAUAAGCUAUUGUCUUUUUUUUUUCUUCUCAAUUUUAUGCUUAUUUUUUAUUUAAAAUUUAGUUUUAUCUUUUUAUUCAAUUUAAAAACUUUCUUAUUUUCUUUAUUGUCCGGACAAAUUCUCGUAUUUAAUUUAAUGUUCUUACAUGCUUACAACAAACAUAAUAAUCAAUCCCUCAAUUGUCAUUGUUACAUCAUUCUUUAAUAUUAGAUUUUUUUAAAAUUAUUUCAAUUUUAUAAUUAUUUACUAUUUUUUUUAUUUUAUAAUUACCUAUUUUGAUCCUUUGCAUUAUUUUUUAUUUUAUUGAUUUAAUUUGUUAAGGCAAAAAUAUAUCCUACUUUUCAAGAUGAUUAAUUAUUAAAAAUAAAAUUCAAAUAUUAAAAAUAUUAAUAUAUUAUUUGAUAUUUAUUAGAUAAUUUUAUUAAAUACUUUCUUAAUUAGCUAGCUUAUAAACUUAUAACUUUAUAGCUUAUAAACUUCCAACCAAUUUAUAAGUCAAUUUUUACGAGACAUAGCUAAAUUGAUCCAAACUGAAAAAAAAAAAAAACACACUAGUUUGGGUUGCUAGUAAAAUAAAAUAAAAUAAGACAACUGAAGCUAUCUAACUCAGUACUUAAUAAUUGAAUUGUCGAUUAAUUUAAGUUUGUAUAUUUUACCUAUAUACGUACAUAAUACACCAACUACUUGCUAAUAUUUUAAUAGAGUCGUCAUCAUAUUCUCAUUGACACUUCCAAACACCAUGAGCACUAUAUAAACCCCCCAUCCACACCAAAUUACUCCCAUCUUCACUUACACUCUUCUUUUAAGCUCUAGCAGUUAACUAACAAUAUUAGCAUUUGCUAGUGAUUAGGAAUAUAAAGAUACGCCAACCACAAACAGUUUAAGAUGGCCUCCAAAACAUGUUCAUCCCUUGCUCUUUUCCUCACACUCAACCUCCUCUUCUUUUCACUUGUCUCUGCAUGCGGUAGUUAUUCAUGCCCUAGUCCAAAGCCAAAGCCAAAGCCCAAGCCAAAGCCCAACCCUAACCCUAGUCCUUCUGGUGCAUCGUGCCCCCGUGACGCACUCAAGCUAGGUGUAUGUGCCAACGUGCUAAAAGGGUUGUUGAACGUGACUUUGGGUCAACCACCAGUUACCCCUUGCUGCACCCUUCUCGAUGGGCUCGUUGACCUUGAGGCUGCAGUGUGCCUUUGCACUGCCCUCAAAGCAAAUGUUUUGGGCAUCAACCUCAACCUUCCUAUCUCACUCAGCUUGCUUCUCAAUGUUUGCUCAAGGCAAGUCCCACGCGAUUUUCAAUGUGCCUAAUCAUGGCCUAUACACAACAUAUCAUAUAUAUCUAACGUGUUUGGAAACUCGUUGAGGAUGGAGAAAUCACGUCUGAGAUAUGAAAAGCUAUAACUAUUUGCUUUUCCACAUCUAAAAUGUGAAAAAUUACGUCUGAAACGUGAAAUCAAACACGUUAAUUAAUCAUCCUAUCUACGUACUUUUGCUUCGUGUUUGGUAUAGUUGUGACUUUCCUUUAUAUUGAUCAGUGUGUGAAUCUUGUACGUGCAUGGAGGGUUAACUUCUCCUUAUUCCUUCCUUUUAGUGUUUUCUAAAUAUUGUAUGGUUAGAGUGUUGCAAUAAAUUAAUAAAUAAGUUCCUGAUGCAUGCUUAUGUAAAUCGCAAGGGAACCAAAGAUAAUGAACUGGUGUGUUAUUUAUAUUUGAUUGAGAAAUGGUCAUUAUAUCACAAAUAAUCGUUUGGAAAAAUAAAUAUGUUGGGUACGUUUAUGAGUGGGGGGUCACUGAUGUAAUAGGAGCAGAUUAUGUAUGCAGGGACUGAACAAAUUAUCUUGCUUGAUAUAUGCUGUGGGGUUUUAUGUGCUGCGUCAAUAGUUUAGGAGCAGGAGCAGAUUAUGAUUGCUGCAUACAUAAUAUGCAGGAGCAGAUUAUAUGUAUGUUGUGGGAUUUUGCAGUGUAGUGGUUUAUAUAUGAUGUAAAAGGGUUUGGUUCCCUUAUAUUAUACCCUCUAUUAUAUAAAUCUUAUUUGGCUUAUAUAAAAAGAAUAAUCCUUCUUAAUUUAUUUCGUUCUGCCUUUUCCUUUUGUCUUUUUUGGUGAACGAAAUCACCAACUAAUCAAUUAAGUAAAUUAUUCGGCAUACUACUAAUUAAAGUGUAUCAAUUGAACUUUCAUAUCUUGCUCGGUAACAAACAAAAUUGGGAAGUUAUGAGUUGGUUUUUCAGGGCUAUUGCUUAAUAAUAUCUCUGCUAAUUAUAUCCAAUUUAGUUCUUUACUAAGGAGGAAAUAGCUGCAUACGAUUCGCUACCUUUUUUUACCAUGCAGGGUAUGAUCUAUUUAAAUCAUGCAUAAUGAAAUUGUAUUUCAAGGUGUAUCUUUCGACUUAUCUAGUAGUGUUUUAGAUUUUUAUAAAGAUUAGAUCGAGGACAUUCAGCAAUAAAUUAAGUAUAAUAUUCUUUUAUCUAAUUUGUUUACAUCUUGUAGCCUGUUAGAGCACUCUGUCUCUUAAUAAAUUGUUUUUCCUGUAAAAGAAUAAAGUAUUUAAUUGUUGAAAAUGUAUAUUACGGGAAGACAUAUUACUAAUCAAGUAUUUGUUGAAAAAGUUGGGAACACAAGAGUCCAUCAUAUUAUUAUUAAAUUGUUGAACCAUUUCCCCUAAAUCUAAGAGAUCAAUAUUGGAAGAAAAAAUCAUAGACAUUCAAAUUACUUUUCCUGGAUAUAGUGACAAUAUAAUAAAUUAUACAAACAAAUGAUAUACUUUUGAAUCACCAUAAUGUUCGUGCAAAUUAUUCAUUUAUUUUAUUAAUUACACAUAAUAAUCUUUAUUUUCAAUUACAAAAUUUCAACUUAAAACUUUAAGAAAUUUAAAUCCAAUUUCACUCAAACCAAAAUCACAUAUGUUAGCCAAACAUAUGAUUAGUUAUUGUAUACUUUAUUUUAUAUAUUAAAAAAAUCCAUGUACAUUUAUAAUAUUUAUAUGGCUAAAAUAUUGUUCUAAUCGCUUAUUUAUUUAUUUAUUUAAUUGGUGUAAUUUGAUUUCUUUAUUGAUAAAGACUUCAAUUUAGUUAAUUUUCAAAAUCAUGUCUAUGUUGUAAUUUUCAUCUAGUUGAUAAAAAUGUAGAACCAACAAAAUGGGUAAGAACUCACUAGUUUGAGCCGGGUUGGGUUGAUUUUUUAUGCCCAUUUCAAUUAUUAUGCAUAAAUAUGGCCCACCCAACCCGUAUUCAGGUUGACUAAUAAAAAAAACAUGUAUGUUGAUGCUAUUAAAAAAAUAACCCACUCCUUACUUGUCACGCAAAUGAAAUAGCACAACAAUUAUAAUUAGGUUUGUCCUUUUUUUUUCUCACUCUUUUUUCUUGAUUUAGUUAUUCUUCUUGCUUUCCUUUUUACAACAAUCAACAUAGAAUAAAAAUUAUAGGAAGUUUUUUUUAAAAAAAAUCAUUUCGUCCUUUUAAUUUUAGGUGGAUCAAACUAUUUAAUCUAUCAACUGGUGGUUACCUAAACUAAUUUAACUAACUUUUUAAAGACUCAGCAAAAAGUGAGUCAAGAUAGGCUAGUCCACUUUUUGAGCAACACGAGAUGAACUGACUUUGUCCACUUUGACAAUUGUAUUGGUGUUAACAAAAACAGACAUGUGCCACUUUCACAGGUUCAAGCCACUGACGUUAUUAUAGUCAUAUAUGCAAUUUUGAAAACUAAGGGUAAUUAUUUUUUUUAUAAUAAAAUGGCCAAAUUGGAUAAAUAAAAUAAAAAUAGAGACAAAAGAGUAUUUCAGUCUAUUUAUAUUAAAUAGUUAAUUUUCGUAAGAAAAAAAAUACAUACAGAGAGUAACAGACUAAUUCAAAACUUAUUUAUUAGAGUUUUAUUUUUGUUUAAUGAAGUGAUUUAAUAAUCAUUAUUUGAUUCUGAUUUUUUAAUAAAAUAUAUUAAUUAUUUAUUUAUUUAUACCUUAUGUUAAAAAAAUUAAGUAUUUAUACUUUAAUUCAAAGAAUAAAACUUAUAAUACAUCAUCUAUUUUUUUGGUAUUGUUUUUUAUAUAAGGUUAUAUUUUAAUGACCAACUCCUUGUUUUUAUUUUAACUUAUAAAGUAUUACUAGAUUAUCAAAAUAAUUUUCUAAUUUUAAUUUUAAAAACGUUUAAGAAGCAAAUUAGUUUUCUUCAAAUUAAUAAAUUAAUCGUUGCUAUCAGCCAAAUAGCUAGUGGUAACGUAAGGAUCUGAUUAAAAAUCUAAUAAACUUAUAAUAGCUGUUAGCCUAUUAGCCAAAUAGCUAGUGGUAAUGUAAGGAUUGGGUAAGCUGUCGGGAUAUACAUCAUCAUCUCUGUUUUGUUUUGUUUUUUUUUUUUUUUUUUUUUCCAAAAUUAUAUUUUAAUCUCCUUAGUUGUCUCUAAUUUUGAUUUUAGUAUCUUUUAAAAUUAUUGAUGCAUAUAGUAAUGCAUUUAGUCCUUCAAGUUCAACCCCGUAAACAUGAUCCUAAUUUAGACGUUGACUGUUAUAAAAAAAUGUUGACAGUCACGUGUUACAUUCUGAUUGGACGAUAAUUGACACGUGUCACAUUUUGAUUGAAUAUUGACAACAACAAUACAUUUUUCAUCAUUCAUAAAGUCAACAUUUAAUUAGAACGUGACACAUGAUAAUUUACGGGAUUGAAUAUAAUUAAAGGACUAAAUGCAUCAAUAAUUUUAGGAUCGGAGGAUAGAAGUUCCAAAUUUAAACCAAAAUGGAUUUUCAAUCAUGUAGAGGUAUACGAGAAUAAAUGAUAGUAAAGGUAUAUAAAUUGAAAAUUAAUAAUUAAUUAUACUGAUUAUAUAUACAUAUAUAAUAAAUCAUAAAAUUUAUCAAUUUAAUUAAUUUUUAUCAAUAAUUAUACUUUUAUUUAAAUUUAUUUUUUUAUAUAAUGUCAAUGCAAUUUAUUUACUAUUAACUAUUUAAAAAAUAUUCUACAUAAUUAUUAUAAAAAUUAACGACCUCAUCAUUCAAAACUUAAUGCAUUACAAUUAAAUUCUUCCUACUUUGUUGUUUAAAAUUUUAAAUCCAACAUAAUUACUUUUUUUCCUGAUAAUCCAACCAAAUUACUAUUCACUCCAAUCUUAAAUAUAAAUAAAAAUACCUCAUAUAAUUAUUUCAAAUAUAAAUAAAUUUUAACUAAUUUUAAAAAAACAUUCUCCAAAACAUUUUUAUUUUAUUUCAAUAACCUCUUUAAUUCUCGUUAUAUCAAUUGCAUGACUUUUAAAAAUAAAAAAUAUUUUCAAUUAAAAAAAAUUCUAUUAAAAUAAUGUUUUUUAACAAUUAGCGUGAAGAGUAGUUUGAAUAAUGAUUUUUUUUAACAAGAUACAGAAAAUUAAAUUAAAUUUACUAAAUUAUUAUAAAACAAUCACCGUGGUAUUCAUGCAAGUGAAACUUAUCUCAAAUUUCUUUAGUAAAAUUUGAAAUUUAAAUUAAACUUUGUAGAUGAAAGAAAAAAAAAUAAGAUGAGAGAUUCUAUAUAGGAAAAGUGAGUCACUCAUAUUUCUUAACAAAAGAUUAAUAAUUAUUAGCAAAAUAAAUAUAUAUUUCUCACUAAAAUUAUCUUGUAGUAAAAAUUACCAUGAAUUUUUUUAACACAAAAUUUAAAAAAAUAUCUAAAAAAGAUUUAUACGUUUGUAUAAGUGACUUAUCUCUUUUAAUUAUAAGUGAUAUAGAAUUUAAACUAUGAUUGUUAAUUUAAUAUAAAAUAAAUCAUAUUAAAACAGAAGUAUUAAUCUCAAACAGCUUUCAAUAGAAAUUAUUUACUACUCACACUAUAAUAAAAAAAUAAAAAAAUCUGGCAAGGGUUUGUACUUUGUAGAGAAGUUGUGGUGAAUUUACAGCCACAAUUAGUGAUACUUAUAUGGGACCCGCUAUUCCACAUGCAAAAGUUAGUAAUUGCAUAAUUCUGGGGACUCCAAGGAUCUUAGAUCUUACGGUCAUGGAAUCAAGUUGCCCAACGGGUGCAUAACUUUGCUCCCCAGAUCCACCGAUUGAUGCCAGUCCCUACAUCAACAAGUCACGAGCAUUAAAAACCUAAUUUAAGGACUUAAUUUUCCUGCCAGCUACAAAUUCUCAGGUUCACGUUCCAUUAAUUUAAUAUUUUUUUAUUUAUUAUGAAAUAUAUUCAAGUGUUUAAUUUUUUAUUGUCAAAAAUCAAAUACUGUAUUUUAAGUUGUUACGGAGUUAUUCUUAAUCAAAAUUAGCAUUUAUCUAUAUAAUUAUUCUUAAUUUUAGUUAUAAAAAAUACUGAUUAUUAAAAUAAAAUUUUCAUUUUGAUUGAAAAAUUACUCCAACCAUUUUUAUAAUAUAUACAAUAUCUAGGUUUAAUUUAUUUUUAAGAGAAAAAUACUCUCAUACAUAUAUACAUUCAUAUGUUCCUUUUAUAGGCAAUAAUAAUAGUACUUAUUUAUAUUUUUCAUUAUUAAUAAAACUAAUCUAUCAUUGAUUAAAUCAAUUUUUUAAAUGUCUUUUAAUUUAAGUUUUACAUUUUACCUAUAUCGUACAUAUAUAAUACACAAACUACUUGCUAAUUUUUUAAUUGACUCCUCAUCAUAACCCCCUUCCACCUUCAAAACAUCAUGAGCACUAUAUAAACCACAAUCCACAUCCUCACAAACACUCUUCUCAUAAGCUCUAGCACUUAACUAGUAAUAUUUAUUAGAAUUUGCUAGAGAAUUAGAAGAAUAAACAUAAUACCCCAGAUGGCUUCAAAAACUUGUUCCUCCCUUGCCCUUUUCCUCACACUCAACCUCGUUUUCUUCUCACUUGUCUCUGCAUGCGGUUAUACACCAUGCCCUGGUCCAAACCCAAAGCCAAGGCCCAACCCCAACCCUAACCCUAACCCCAGCCCAAGUGGCUCGUGCCCCCGUGACGCACUCAAACUAGGUGUAUGCGCCAAUGUGCUAAACUUGGUGAACGCCACUUUGGGUCAAC